RNAcentral lists this ribosomal RNA (451 nucleotides) under uncultured bacterium. RNAcentral describes it as "partial 16S ribosomal RNA". It matches the Rfam family "Bacterial small subunit ribosomal RNA", at positions 29 to 507 of the family's 1533-position model. The record is from RNAcentral.
AGUGAACGCUGGCGGCGUGCCUAAUACAUGCAAGUCGAACGGUAACAGGAAGUCGCUUGCUACUUUGCUGAUUAGUGGCGCACGGGUGAGUAAUGCAUAGGUCAUGUGCCCCAUAGUCUGGGAUAGCCACUGGAAACGGUGAUUAAUACUGGAUACUCCCGAGCGGGGAAAGUUUUUCGCUAUGGGAUCAUCCUAUGUCCUAUCAGCUUGUUGGUGAGGUAAUGGCUCACCAAGGCUAUGACGGGUAUCCGGCCUGAGAGGGUGAACGGACACACUGGAACUGAGACACGGUCCAGACUCCUACGGGAGGCAGCAGUAGGGAAUAUUGCUCAAUGGGGGAAACCCUGAAGCAGCAACGCCGCGUGGAGGAUGAAGGUCUUCGGAUUGUAAACUCCUUUUCUAAGAGAAGAUUAUGACGGUAUCUUAGGAAUAAGCACCGGCUAACUCCGUG